Molecule: long non-coding RNA, 504 nt
Organism: Humulus lupulus (European hop)
Lineage: Eukaryota; Viridiplantae; Streptophyta; Magnoliopsida; Rosales; Cannabaceae
Exons: 3
Source: RefSeq, a predicted model, not a curated record
GUUAGGCUUAGAUCGAUGUGGAUUGAAAAAUGAGGUUACUGAUGUAGAUGAACCAAGUCGUUGCGAAUAUGUAGCAUUCCUAUCAACUCCAGCAGUAUGCUUCGAGGAAAAACUUAUGGAACUACAACAAAAACUAGACCCGAUGAACAAAGAACAACCCCAAAACCAUGACGAGCUUUGAGUUUUCACAUGGAGUUUUCCCUAGUAUUUUUUAGAAGUAAUCUGACAGGUUAGGCUGAGAUCUAUUUUGAACACAUAACUCGACUUGACAUCUCGACAGCAAAUUGGAGCGAUGAGCUGAUUUUUUUACAUUCUAAAAGACUAAUAUAGAACAAACUUUAAUUUGGUUGGGAGUUGGAUUGUAGCUAUUGAGUUAAAACAGCAUGUUAAUUAAGUGGUGCAUUUUUGAACUAAAAUUGUAGUGGUGCACAUUCUGAUUUUGCAUACUAUACCCAAAAACUGUCUUUAGUAGAUUUAAAAUAAAUCUAUGGAAAAGUUAUAAUA